This 501-nucleotide ribosomal RNA is filed under the name uncultured bacterium. Its description in RNAcentral is "partial 16S ribosomal RNA". It matches the Rfam family "Bacterial small subunit ribosomal RNA", at positions 30 to 523 of the family's 1533-position model. The record is from RNAcentral.
AUUGAACGCUGGCGGCAGGCUUAACACAUGCAAGUCGAGCGGGGGAAGGUAGCUUGCUACCGGACCUAGCGGCGGACGGGUGAGUAAUGCUUAGGAAUCUGCCUAUUAGUGGGGGACGACAUCUCGAAAGGGAUGCUAAUACCGCAUACGUCCUACGGGAGAAAGCAGGGGAUCUUCGGACCUUGCGCUAAUAGGUGAGCCUAAGUCGGAUUAGCUAGUUGGUGGGGUAAAGGCCUACCAAGGCGACGAUCUGUAGCGGGUCUGAGAGGAUGAUCCGCCACACUGGGACUGAGGCACGGCCCAGACUCCUACGGGAGGCAGCAGUGGGGAAUAUUGGACAAUGGGGGGAACCCUGAUCCAGCCAUGCCGCGUGUGUGAAGAAGGCCUUAUGGUUGUAAAGCACUUUAAGCGAGGAGGAGGCUACUUUAGUUAAUACCUAGAGAUAGUGGACGUUACUCGCAGAAUAAGCACCGGCUAACUCUGUGCCAGCCGCCGCAGUAA